This 426-nucleotide ribosomal RNA is filed under the name uncultured bacterium. RNAcentral's name for it is "bacterial SSU rRNA". It matches the Rfam family "Bacterial small subunit ribosomal RNA", at positions 354 to 796 of the family's 1533-position model. The record is from RNAcentral.
GUGGGGAAUCUUGCGCAAUGGGCGAAAGCCUGACGCAGCGACGCCGCGUGCGGGAUGAAGGCCUUCGGGUCGUAAACCGCUUUCAGCAGGGACGAUUGUGACGGUACCUGCAGAAGAAGCCCCGGCCAACUACGUGCCAGCAGCCGCGGUAAUACGUAGGGGGCAAGCGUUGUCCGGAUUUAUUGGGCGUAAAGAGCUCGUAGGCGGUUAGGUAAGUCGGGUGUGAAAUCUCCGUGCUCAACACGGAGGGGCCAUUCGAUACUGCCUUGACUUGAGUUCGGUAGAGGAGUGUGGAAUUCCAGGUGUAGCGGUGAAAUGCGCAGAUAUCUGGAGGAACACCCGUAGCGAAGGCGGCACUCUGGGCCGAUACUGACGCUGAGGAGCGAAAGCGUGGGGAGCAAACAGGAUUAGAAACCCGAGUAGUCC